RNAcentral lists this long non-coding RNA (6064 nucleotides) under Bemisia tabaci. Its description in RNAcentral is "lncRNA ENSSSA2NGG007489". The record is from RNAcentral. Lineage: Eukaryota; Metazoa; Arthropoda; Insecta; Hemiptera; Aleyrodidae.
CCAUUAAACUUAGUGAGUUCAUUACUAUACCACUUAAAUAAAUUACCAAUAAUUUUUUUUAAUGAUAGUGGAUCAGAAUAAAUUUCGGACAUGACCUAUCACUUCUCUCUGAAUAAUCAUUUAAUUUGCAAAUUGUCAUUCCUAAUUAUUCUGCAACUUACGUGUUGUCUUCAAAUAAUUUUCUGGUGAUCUUGAUAUAACCCCGAAUCACUGAGUCAUGACAGAAAAGGAAUAAGCCAACCGCUUUGGAUUCUGUAAGCACUAAAAUCUUUCGAAGUUAAGAAAGUUUGUGCUAGGUUUGAAGAAAAUUUUCGUUUUCUUUCUUUCAGAGUUCAGCCAACGAGAUAACAGAUAUCAGUAUAGGUGGCCAGUGCACUCCAAAGAAAAUGACUCCCAUCAAACAAUUACCCUUUAGCCCUUCCCAGUUUUUAAAUAGCCCCAACUUAUCUUUCGAUGUUCUAUCGUCGACUCCGGUGAAAAGUGGGAUGAUGACUUCCCACAAAUUGUGCGGGUGCAAAAGCCCAGAUGUUUUGGUUACCCCAAAUCCAACUCUACCCUUGCAACAAACCAAAAAACAACAAGCAGCCAAAAACGGUGAUGAGUCCCCCUGUGCAACCCCGAAACAUUCCCAUUCAAAUUUCACUCCACGAACCCCAACUCCUUUCAAGAAUGCGUUAGCAGAAAUGGAAAAAAUUGGUGCUAAGUACAUGGCGCAUACUCCAACAAGGCUGGUUGAAGACAUAAGGGAAAAUAAUUAAAAAGAAAAACUUAGUCAGUACGAUUCUAACUACGAGACUGAUAUGUCAAGCAUCGCUCAGCACGAAGAUAGUGGUUACAGCACCUUGAAAAGGAAGCUGGUCCUACUCCAUUCCGGGAAAGAGAACACAUUACCUCAUAAACGGGUUCGAAAAGCCCUGGCACCUAGCUGGAAUAGCCUGGGAAAUGGGGAUGACAUGGGGAUGAAAUCUGUACCAAGUGAAUCCUCCGUACUCUUUUCACCACCAUCCAUCACACGAGACACAUUAGUUGAGGAUCUUUUUGGGGAGCGGUUAAUGUCCAAUGCCUCUACAAUCUCCCCUGACGUCCCGUCGGUAUCAACAGUGCAGUCAAUAAAAAACCCUCCCCUUUGCGGAGCACCAACGAAACGCUCAGUCGUCAAACGCAUCGAAUUCUCUCCAUCAUCACCCGAAAGAAAGCCCAGUCAUCAAGACCGAGCCCGGUCACUAUUCAAGUUGGAUGUGAGGUGGGAAGAAAUCCUCUUUGGGAAGACAUUGGAUCAAGUUGCACUAACGAAGCAGGCUCAUCAGCUGGUGGAACACAGUAACAACAUCAGAAAAGAAACGUCAAGUGGUAGCGAUACGGAUAGUCUGGUCAGAAUACCUUUGACAAAUCAACAAAUUUAUAAUACCAUCCGUUCAUUUCACGCCUUUGAUCUUCUUUGCGACGAAGGGUCAAAAACGUAGCAUGAGAGCGCAUAGAAUGUUCCGUAACUUUAAUACUCAAUUGUGCAAAAAUUAUAUGUUUGCAAUAGCAAUUCAUUUUAAUUUCUCUCCUCAUCAUUAUUUAUUUAUAUAUUUAUUGAUUUCAUAUUUAUUAUUUGUGUUGGAACUUUGAAUUUUGCGUGAGCAUUAUUUUACAGAGUAUUUUUAAAUAUUAUUGUUUUAUUUUCAAAGAAGUCUGUAGCUUUUACUACGAUUUCCAUUAAUUUACGCUUUCUGUAAGGAGAUACAAUUUUAUAAUGAACAAAAAUUAUUGUUUGAAUUACUGUGCACUGAAAAGUGAUUACAUUAGAUCUAAUGUAACUUGAUUCGAACCACUUAGUGUAAUUUCCUAUCAAAACAUCAUGGCCUUUUACUACAAAACUUUUCCUCUUCCUUUGUGAUGAAGAUUAUUCCAAAUGAAUUUUUCAAUUUUCUCUAAGGAAUCAUCCCUCAGAGAUAUUUGUACCUUUUUCUAGUAAUCUAAAUGUGCUAGGAUAGGAUUUUUUCAUAAGCAAAUUUCAACCAAGAAAUUAAUAGUCAAAUAGUUCAAAAACCACCUUGUUAUCAUAAUAAUGCAUUAGAAUGCAUUCUUAUUUUAUGCUUAAAGAUUAAAAAUUAAUACUUUUAAGUUCUCCAAUUGUUUGUUGUUGCCAUUUCAUUAUGUUAAAAUUGUCUCUGGUUGAAAUCCAACUCUUGCUGCGUGAAAGAAAAGUAACUUUAGUAAAAAAAGUGAAUUCGUAUUUGAUGUAGUCCUCUGAAAGUCAGUCUUAUCCAUCUCUGUUUUAGAUCGAAAGUACAAACAAAUUUGACUUUAGAAUCUACGGACAAAGUUUUCCUCCAGACAACUGUGUUCUAAUUGAAGCAAAUGGCUUCAUGUAUUGUAACUUCUUUCAUAAUUAUUUCAUUAUAUCCUGGGAAUCAACCGAGUUAAUUAUUUGAAGCUAUUUUGCUGGAUUGGGACAUCGCAGCACUUGAUAAUUUUUAAAGCUUCAUAACUUCACAUACUCAAUAGCACAGAUGUUUUUUGUCUUUCUUCCCUCUGUUUUUUCACCAAAAUAUGGAAUGAUAUCGAAGGAUAAACAAUUUUGGUCACAAUUGAAAUGUUUUCAUUAUCAAAUGAUGGUAUGCAAACUCAGGUAAUAAACUUCUUAUAGUCUGUGAAACUAAGAUUUUUGUUUUUCAUAUUUUUUAACUUUAUUGCAACCGAUAAAUUCUUUUUCAGCCCUAUGUAUGUUUUGAAUGCCACUUUUUAUCUCAGCAUGUUUACUUGUUGGCAUGUGGAAAAUGUCUGUAUUUAUUUAUAUAAAUGAAAAAAUACUGUCUAUUGACUCAAUUAUAACUCUCAAUUAAUUUUAAUUACCUCUUUCCAACGCUUUCAGCUAUGGUCAGUUUUAUGACCACUAUAUCAAAAGUUUUUUUACAAUUUUUUCUCUUCGAUUCUUGCCAUCAUUUGAAGUAGCAGAGGAGUCUUUCUGCCGAAGGAAAUUUUACAUAGAAAGAUUUUAAUGGGCUACCAGACAAGGUCGUAGCUAGCAAAAAAGUACCAAGUCUCUCUUCAAAAUCUUAAACAGAAAACAAUUUACACAAAAAUUAGAUAGGAUAUCAACUCCUGAGAGAGGUAUCAUCAAUAUUUUAUCAUAGAAUUCAUACUUUGUCUAGAGCCCAUUCGAAGCAUAAUAAUUUUGGCUGCAUUCCACCAAACCAAUAUUAUCGCUUGUAAAGUGUAUCAGGGCCCUGUAAGGAGAAACUUUAUUUUUACCAAAUCAUAAUAUUGUAUAUGCUGUAAUCAGUUGAGUAGCUUGUAACUUUUAGAUUUAAAGAACCUCAUAGUGUGUGUAUAUCUUGUACUGUAUAAACUCUCAAAAUAUCACUUGUACAAUUAGCCUAGAUGUAGCUAUUUAAAUCCAACAAUUUUUGUAAAAACAGCCUAAAAGAAAACAAUUCUGAAUAGUAACUUUAUUUUGUAUUUUCACGGGGUAUGAAUGGAAACCCAAAGAAGGAGAAAGAAAUAUAGUUGUUUUAUCUCACAAUUACUCUGAUAAAUUUACACUCAAGUUGACCUGUCCUUGACCUCUUUUCUUGUUUUUAAAGAUUUUGCAAAAGCUGAAUGAAGCAGAAAGGAAGUAAACCGAUAUUUUGCUGAAGGGACCAUUCACCAUAUUCUACUUGAAAUUCUACGAGAAAAACUGGGAGAAUUGUGCCAUUCGGCAAGCGCUCAAUCUUUGGAGCCCAAAAAAGUAUGUGUCUAAAAAAUAUCCAUUGACACAGGGCUCAAAAGAUUGAAUGCAAGCUGAAUAGUCCUCUUUUUUCAUUUUCUUGAGAUGGAUUUUGGUGCUUUUUGGAUUUUGGGUCCUGAAGAAAAUUUAGGUUCAAUUGACAGAACUACAGAAGGCUGAGAGUCUAAAUCUUGAUUAUUAGUUUUGUACACUAUUCUGUGUACAGAAGUAUGCUCAAGCUCUGACUUUGAUGAAAAGUCGACUUUUUUAUUUGAAAAUUUGUUUUCUUUUCAUUUGAAUUUUCAUUCAUGCAUCAUUGGUUUCAGUUGCAUCUUUUCUUAGAAGAUAAUGAAAUGGAAAUUUAGUCAUCUUUUUCUCUUUUUCAGCCUGACUAUUUUAUGACCAGUCUGAAUGUUAGGAACAAAUUGAACUAUAUUCUUUUUGUUUUUAUGACGCUCAAUUAUUCUAUUUUGUAACUUAUUUUUAACUCGAUGAGGAAGGAUAUAGCUGCAGGUCAACAUAAAGCCAAUCCAUGGUUACAUUCAGGAUUUGUUGUUUCAGAUUUUUCGCAACAAUAAAAUAGGUCAAUCUGAAAUCCAUUAUCUGCUUUUGAGAAAAUUUUUCCUUGAAGCCUCAUUACUGUAACUGUAACAGUGCAAUAUUUCCUAGAGUCAGUUACUAAACAAUCCUUGUAAAAGAAUGAAAAACAAGUUUUCUUUUUUCCCACUGCUUACUUCGGUUCUACUUUAUCGAUCACUGAUUUUAAGUACUACCGGUCCAUUAUCCUUCGCCUGUAGAAUCCGUUUUUCCAGAAUGGAAUUUUUACUCACCCGUGAGUAAAUCCUCGUGUUACUUACUUUUGUGGUUUUUUUUUUUUUGGUUUUCAAUUUUUAUUUUGCGUGUUUUUUGUUGUCAAUGUUAAAAUAUUUUAUUGUGUAAUAAUUUUACCCAUAAUCUUCUGUAACCUCUAAAUUUGUAAUCAACUGCUCUCGGUGACUUCAAUAGCAUUGAUGCUCAAUGUACAAUAAAUGUCUAAUUAUUUCAUUAUUUUAUUGUAACAUAUUCAUUUUUUUUCUUUGCACGAUUUUAAUUUGAAUUAUUGCAAAGGAGGCAGUUCCCCAAAACAAACUGAAGAGUGGGCAUGUCAAGUGCAUGUAUUUCAAUUGAUUCUAUUUUUAAAUGUAUCCAAGACGGUGGUUAUUUGGUGUCUCGUUCCAAAAUCUGUCCGGCAAUACUAGUAUCGAAACUCUAAAAACAUGGAUCUGAAUGCGCCACAUCUUAAAUUCUCAGGCUUACUUUACUUUUUAAAAGUAAAAACUAAUUAAAAUUCUAUCAAUGGCCAAAGUCCAAAAAUGCGUAUCCUAGAUUGUGAUGUUAUAAGUCUCUGCUCACGAUUCAAUUUUCAAAAAGAAACCAACCAGCAGUUUCUGUUGAAAUUUUCUUUUCUCACUUAAAAAAAAAUCACAGUAAAAUGCAAGGAAUAAGUUUAUUUGUUUUCUUUGAAAAAAUACACGACUUAUCGGAGAUUUUUAAAUGUUGCAGUUGUGAAACGUAUUUUUGGCAUUAGUCAUCGAUAUCUUGAAAGUUUCUGUGAUGUUCUCUUGUUUCUCCAAGCCCAUUUUGUAAAACUUUAAGAAAUGGAAUUUUCUUUCUUUUUUUAAAAAAUGAAGUAGUGAAUAAAUUUCUUUUAAUAUAUCAUGCCUGCUAUCUUGAGCCCAAUGUUUAGUUUUUCAAAUGGUAAAUUUUCUGCCUCUCAUUUGUAUUCUACCACUUGAUUUUUCCUAUGCUGUACUUAACUUUUAAAUCAGACGCAAAGGUACGAAUCAAUUUAAUAUUUUGAAAAUGUUUAUGUUCCUUCGGAUGUCAUCUGUUAUAAUUAUCAUCUUGUCUGCAAAGUACAAAAGAUUCAUCACAUUUUCUCCUUUACCAAUCUCAUCUCUCAAAAUUUGUGUCUUUGUAUUAUUAUUGCUAAUUAAAUUAGUCUCAAACUUUUGCAGUGAAUAUUGCGUAUUAUUGCCUGAAAUUCGCCUCGUAACAACCCUCCAUUGAUUAAUACAAUCUAUUUCUAAAGGAGAAUUCAUUAAUUAUCGCAUUAAAUGAACAUUUGUUCACGUGCCAAAAGAUUCUAGCGAUUCUUCUGGAGUUUUCAGUUUUGAGCGUUGACUGUUCAGGUCUCUUUUUGCAGGGAAGAUAUUACAUAAGCUUGUUCCGUAGUUUUAAAGCUUGCAUUUUUGAAAAGUAGAUAGUGCACAUAAUUCACAGGAAUUUUCCCCAACUCUCUACAAUACAUAUCGACGGUGAAACUACCAAACCACGUAUCUCGGUUUGCGACGUCGCAGACUUCCUGUCAUACUUUAUUUUUUAAAU